GAUUAAGUUAUUAAGGGCGCACGGUGGAUGCCUUGGCACUAGAAGCCGAUGAAGGACGUUACUAACGACGAUAUGCUUUGGGGAGCUGUAAGUAAGCUUUGAUCCAGAGAUUUCCGAAUGGGGAAACCCAGCAUGAGUUAUGUCAUGUUAUCGAUAUGUGAAUACAUAGCAUAUCAGAAGGCACACCCGGAGAACUGAAACAUCUUAGUACCCGGAGGAAGAGAAAGAAAAUUCGAUUCCCUUAGUAGCGGCGAGCGAAACGGGAAGAGCCCAAACCAACAAGCUUGCUUGUUGGGGUUGUAGGACACUCUAUACGGAGUUACAAAGGACGACAUUAGACGAAUCAUCUGGAAAGAUGAAUCAAAGAAGGUAAUAAUCCUGUAGUCGAAAAUGUUGUCUCUCUUGAGUGGAUCCUGAGUACGACGGAGCACGUGAAAUUCCGUCGGAAUCUGGGAGGACCAUCUCCUAAGGCUAAAUACUCUCUAGUGACCGAUAGUGAACCAGUACCGUGAGGGAAAGGUGAAAAGCACCCCGGAAGGGGAGUGAAAUAGAACCUGAAACCGUGUGCUUACAAGUAGUCAGAGCCCGUUAAUGGGUGAUGGCGUGCCUUUUGUAGAAUGAACCGGCGAGUUACGAUUUGAUGCAAGGUUAAGCAGUAAAUGUGGAGCCGUAGCGAAAGCGAGUCUGAAUAGGGCGUUUAGUAUUUGGUCGUAGACCCGAAACCAGGUGAUCUACCCUUGGUCAGGUUGAAGUUCAGGUAACACUGAAUGGAGGACCGAACCGACUUACGUUGAAAAGUGAGCGGAUGAACUGAGGGUAGCGGAGAAAUUCCAAUCGAACCUGGAGAUAGCUGGUUCUCUCCGAAAUAGCUUUAGGGCUAGCCUCAAGUGAUGAUUAUUGGAGGUAGAGCACUGUUUGGACGAGGGGCCCCUCUCGGGUUACCGAAUUCAGACAAACUCCGAAUGCCAAUUAAUUUAACUUGGGAGUCAGAACAUGGGUGAUAAGGUCCGUGUUCGAAAGGGAAACAGCCCAGACCACCAGCUAAGGUCCCAAAAUAUAUGUUAAGUGGAAAAGGAUGUGGCGUUGCCCAGACAACUAGGAUGUUGGCUUAGAAGCAGCCAUCAUUUAAAGAGUGCGUAAUAGCUCACUAGUCGAGUGACACUGCGCCGAAAAUGUACCGGGGCUAAACAUAUUACCGAAGCUGUGGAUUGUCCUUUGGACAAUGGUAGGAGAGCGUUCUAAGGGCGUUGAAGCAUGAUCGUAAGGACAUGUGGAGCGCUUAGAAGUGAGAAUGCCGGUGUGAGUAGCGAAAGACGGGUGAGAAUCCCGUCCACCGAUUGACUAAGGUUUCCAGAGGAAGGCUCGUCCGCUCUGGGUUAGUCGGGUCCUAAGCUGAGGCCGACAGGCGUAGGCGAUGGAUAACAGGUUGAUAUUCCUGUACCACCUAUAAUCGUUUUAAUCGAUGGGGGGACGCAGUAGGAUAGGCGAAGCGUGCGAUUGGAUUGCACGUCUAAGCAGUAAGGCUGAGUAUUAGGCAAAUCCGGUACUCGUUAAGGCUGAGCUGUGAUGGGGAGAAGACAUUGUGUCUUCGAGUCGUUGAUUUCACACUGCCGAGAAAAGCCUCUAGAUAGAAAAUAGGUGCCCGUACCGCAAACCGACACAGGUAGUCAAGAUGAGAAUUCUAAGGUGAGCGAGCGAACUCUCGUUAAGGAACUCGGCAAAAUGACCCCGUAACUUCGGGAGAAGGGGUGCUCUUUAGGGUUAACGCCCAGAAGAGCCGCAGUGAAUAGGCCCAAGCGACUGUUUAUCAAAAACACAGGUCUCUGCUAAACCGUAAGGUGAUGUAUAGGGGCUGACGCCUGCCCGGUGCUGGAAGGUUAAGAGGAGUGGUUAGCUUCUGCGAAGCUACGAAUCGAAGCCCCAGUAAACGGCGGCCGUAACUAUAACGGUCCUAAGGUAGCGAAAUUCCUUGUCGGGUAAGUUCCGACCCGCACGAAAGGCGUAACGAUUUGGGCACUGUCUCAACGAGAGACUCGGUGAAAUCAUAGUACCUGUGAAGAUGCAGGUUACCCGCGACAGGACGGAAAGACCCCGUGGAGCUUUACUGUAGCCUGAUAUUGAAAUUCGGCACAGCUUGUACAGGAUAGGUAGGAGCCUUUGAAACGUGAGCGCUAGCUUACGUGGAGGCGCUGGUGGGAUACUACCCUAGCUGUGUUGGCUUUCUAACCCGCACCACUUAUCGUGGUGGGAGAGAGUGUCAGGCGGGCAGUUUGACUGGGGCGGUCGCCUCCUAAAAGGUAACGGAGGCGCUCAAAGGUUCCCUCAGAAUGGUUGGAAAUCAUUCAUAGAGUGUAAAGGCAUAAGGGAGCUUGACUGCGAGACCUACAAGUCGAGCAGGGUCGAAAGACGGACUUAGUGAUCCGGUGGUUCCGCAUGGAAGGGCCAUCGCUCAACGGAUAAAAGCUACCCCGGGGAUAACAGGCUUAUCUCCCCCAAGAGUUCACAUCGACGGGGAGGUUUGGCACCUCGAUGUCGGCUCAUCGCAUCCUGGGGCUGUAGUCGGUCCCAAGGGUUGGGCUGUUCGCCCAUUAAAGCGGUACGCGAGCUGGGUUCAGAACGUCGUGAGACAGUUCGGUCCCUAUCCGUCGUGGGCGUAGGAAAUUUGAGAGGAGCUGUCCUUAGUACGAGAGGACCGGGAUGGACAUACCUCUGGUGUACCAGUUGUCGUGCCAACGGCAUAGCUGGGUAGCUAUGUGUGGACGGGAUAAGUGCUGAAAGCAUCUAAGCAUGAAGCCCCCCUCAAGAUGAGAUUUCCCAACUUCGGUUAUAAGAUCCCUCAAAGAUGAUGAGGUUAAUAGGUUCGAGGUGGAAGCAUGGUGACAUGUGGAGCUGACGAAUACUAAUCGAUCGAAGACUUAAUCAA
Molecule: ribosomal RNA, 2923 nt
Filed under: Staphylococcus aureus
Lineage: Bacteria; Bacillati; Bacillota; Bacilli; Caryophanales; Staphylococcaceae
Description: 23S ribosomal RNA
Rfam family: Bacterial large subunit ribosomal RNA
Source: RNAcentral